GCCUGGAGCUGGGCAGUCUUGUCGGAGUGGAGCCUGGUAACCGCGACCUCCCCACCACUUCCUGUGUGUUGCUGGCUGGAAAGGGGUAGUUGACAAACUCCCACCCAGCACGGUAUUUAUGUCGGUCAAAAAUGGAAAACUAUGUGUCCGGGCGCGGCCGAGGAGGGAGGAUCCCUUCAGGCCAAGAGCAGCCUAGCAAUAUGGCGCAACCCCAUCUCUGUAGUCCAACCUCAGCCUCCCAGCUACUUGAACCCCAAGAUUCAAGGCUCCAAUGAGCUGUGAUUUCACCACAGCACUCCUGCCUGCGAGACUGAGAGACCAAAGACCAACGAACCACCACAGCCACCAGUUCUGGAACCUGCCAAUGAUGGGCAACGGAAAGUGAGGGAGUUCAACUCUGACGCAGUCUCUUGCUCUGUCACCCAGGCUGGCAGUGGCGCGGCCUCGGCUCACUGCAACGUCCGCCUCCUGGGUUCAAGUGAUUCUCCUGCCUCAGCCUCCUGAGUAGCUGGGACUACAGGCACCUGCCACCAUUUUUCAGAGAAAUGGAAUAAUCAUAUCGCUAAUCUAUGUAAACAAGUUGAAGAAUUGUCUGACAGAAAAUACAGUAUGUUUAAAUUGGAAAAGUCCUGUAAUACUUUGUUCAUAAGCAUUUACACAAUGGAGUUAUUGUUCAUCAUGGGGGUACUGUGGACAAGCCCAGGGCUGCUGGUGAAUCCUGCCAUCCUUACACGUCUCUCCUCGUAAGAGUUUCGCUUUUGUUGUUCUGGCUGGAGUGCAAUGGUGCAAUCUCGGCUCACCGCAACCUCCGCCUCCCAGGUUCAAGCGAUUCUCCUGCCUCAACCUCCAGAGUAGCUGGGACUACAGCUGGAGUUUCGCUCUUGUCACCCAUGCUGGAGUGCAAUGACAUGAACUUGUGAAUUCAACACGUGAAGAUUUACAACUAGAUAAACCAGCUUCAGGAGUAAAGGAAGAAUGGUAUGCCAGAAUCACUAAAUGAAGAAGGACGGUGGAUCAGCUUUUCUGCAAAAAAAUUUGAUGGAGUCCAGGCCAGAGUGCAGUGGUGUGAUCCUGGCUCACUGCAACCUCCGCCUCCUGGGUUCAAGCAAUUCUCCUGCCUCAGCCUCCCUAGUAGCUGGGAUCACAGGUUCCUGAAAGGGAGAGAGGAAAUCUUAGAUUUGUCAUUGCUGGGAACCACUGCAAGUAUUCAGGAAAUAUUCACUACUUCCAACCUCAUAAUCCUGCAGUCAUUUGGCACCUGUGAGUCAGGUGCCAGGAACUGGGCAGUGCAGAAGACAGUGCCCUGCCCCGUGCAUUCUGGAGCAUUCAAUCUGGUGGGGAAACAUGUACUGAAGCCUUUGGGAGCACUGAAGCCAAGGCUCUACUGUACCAAAAAUUUGAAGGCCAUGCGAAUGAUCUGUCUGUGGAAGGACUACCAGAAAACAUUCCUUUCAGAAGUUCCUCGUGGUAUGGAAUCCCAAGGCUGGAAAACAUCAUUCAAGUGGGCAAUCGAAUUAAAUUUCUUAUUAAAAGUAACUCCAGUCGGACUCCAUUGUCUCCAAGUCGACUUUCGUCCUCAUCCACAACUCCUCCACACAAGCCCUGAACACCUGUCCAUAUGGAGUUUUACUCUUGUUGCCCAUGCUGGAGUACACUGGUGUGAUCUUGGCUCACCACAACCUCUGCCUCACGGAUUCAAGUGAUUCACCUUCCUCAGCCUCCCGAGUAGCUGGGAAUACAGGCUGGAGUGCAAUGGCGCAAUCUUGGCUCACCGCAACCUCCACCACCUGGAUUCAAGUGAUUCUCCUGCCUCAGCCUCCUGAGUAGCUGGGAUUACAG
Molecule: RNA transcript, 1839 nt
Organism: Pongo pygmaeus (Bornean orangutan)
Lineage: Eukaryota; Metazoa; Chordata; Mammalia; Primates; Hominidae
Exons: 14
Source: RefSeq, a predicted model, not a curated record